Molecule: transfer RNA, 98 nt
Filed under: Paenibacillaceae bacterium
Lineage: Bacteria; Bacillati; Bacillota; Bacilli; Caryophanales; Paenibacillaceae
Description: tRNA-Asp(atc)
Source: RNAcentral
GUUAAAUAUACUUUUCAUGGAUUGGAAGAAUGGAACAUUAUCGCUGUUCCACUUAUCGUUGAUGGAAGAAUGAUAGGUUCUAUUUCCAUGUUUUUCAC